UACGGAGGGUGCAAGCGUUAUCCGGAUUCACUGGGUUUAAAGGGUGCGUAGGUGGGCAUGUAAGUCAGUGGUGAAAUCUCCGUGCUUAACAUGGAAACUGCCAUUGAUACUAUGUUUCUUGAAUUUUCUGGAGGUUAGCGGAAUAUGUCAUGUAGCGGUGAAAUGCUUAGAUAUGACAUAGAACACCAAUGGCGAAGGCAGCUAGCUAGAGGGAUAUUGACGCUGAGGCACGAAAGCGUGGGGAGCAAACAGG
Molecule: ribosomal RNA, 253 nt
Filed under: uncultured bacterium
Lineage: Bacteria
Description: partial 16S ribosomal RNA
Rfam family: Bacterial small subunit ribosomal RNA
Source: RNAcentral